CCUACGGGUGGCAGCAGUCGGGAAUAUUGCGCAAUGGAGGCAACUCUGACGCAGUGACGCCGCGUGCAGGAAGAAGGUUUUCGGAGUUUAAACUGCUUUAGACAGGGGAGAAAAAAGACAGUACCUGUAGAAUCAGCACCGUCUAACUCCGUGCCAGCAGCCGCGGUAAUACGGAGGAAGCAAGCGUUUUCCGGAUUGAUUGGGUUGAAAGGGUGCGUAGACGGAGAAGCAAGUUAGUUGUGAAAUCCCUCGGCGUAACUGAGGAACUGCAACUAAAACUACUGCCCUUGAGUACUGGAGAGGAAAGUGGAAUGCCUAGUGUAGCGGUGAAAUGCGUAGAUAUUAGGAGGAACACCAGUGGCGAAGGCGACUUUCUGGACUGUAACUGACGUUGAGGCACGAAAGUGUGGGGAGCAAACAGGAUUAGAUACCCGAGUAGUC
RNAcentral lists this ribosomal RNA (441 nucleotides) under uncultured bacterium. RNAcentral describes it as "partial 16S ribosomal RNA". It matches the Rfam family "Bacterial small subunit ribosomal RNA", at positions 338 to 795 of the family's 1533-position model. The record is from RNAcentral.